UACGGAGGGGGCUAGCGUUGUUCGGAAUUACUGGGCGUAAAGCGCACGUAGGCGGCUUUGCAAGUUAGAGGUGAAAGCCCAGGGCUCAACCCUGGAAUUGCCUUUAAGACUGCAGCGCUUGAACAUCGGAGAGGUAAGUGGAAUUCCGAGUGUAGAGGUGAAAUUCGUAGAUAUUCGGAAGAACACCAGUGGCGAAGGCGACUUACUGGACUAUAGUUGACGCUGAGGUGCGAAAGCGUGGGGAGCAAACAGG
Molecule: ribosomal RNA, 253 nt
Filed under: uncultured bacterium
Lineage: Bacteria
Description: partial 16S ribosomal RNA
Rfam family: Bacterial small subunit ribosomal RNA
Source: RNAcentral